GAGCUAAGUAUCCUAAGGAGUACUCUAUGGAGCUUAAGCCGGAAUUUAUAUAAUUCAAGGGUGAUAUUUGAAAAGAUAUCAUCUCCACGUUUUGGGAAGGAAAAUAAGUUGAU
This 113-nucleotide non-coding RNA is filed under the name Clostridium cuniculi. RNAcentral's name for it is "Moco (molybdenum cofactor) riboswitch". It matches the Rfam family "Molybdenum/Tungsten riboswitch aptamer (Moco RNA motif)", at positions 17 to 130 of the family's 135-position model. Lineage: Bacteria; Bacillati; Bacillota; Clostridia; Eubacteriales; Clostridiaceae. The record is from RNAcentral.